Molecule: long non-coding RNA, 281 nt
Filed under: Homo sapiens (human)
Lineage: Eukaryota; Metazoa; Chordata; Mammalia; Primates; Hominidae
Description: HSALNT0158828
Source: RNAcentral
UCUGAGAGAGAAGAUAUUUUGAUGGUGGCUUUGAAGAUGGAGAAAGAGACCAUGAUUGUAAGGAUUCAUCAUGCAAAGAGCAAAGAGAAGUAUACAGGGCAACAUAAAGGAAGAAAACGGGCUUUGACGUUAGAAGACUUGAAGCUGAAUCCUAGAUCCCCAAAUUACCAGCUAUUUAGUUGUUCUCAGUAAAACUUGUGCAUGUCUAAUCCCAUCUUGGAGACCCAAAGUAAUGCAAUGCCUGUCAAGAGGGUACUAUCUGCUGUUUUGAUUUGAAACUG